RNAcentral lists this ribosomal RNA (253 nucleotides) under uncultured bacterium. Its description in RNAcentral is "partial 16S ribosomal RNA". It matches the Rfam family "Bacterial small subunit ribosomal RNA", at positions 524 to 776 of the family's 1533-position model. The record is from RNAcentral.
GACGGGGGGUCCAAGCGUUGUUCGGAAUCAUUGGGCGUAAAGCGUGUGCAGGCGGUUUUGUAAGUUGGAUGUGAAAGCCCCGGGCUUAACCCGGGAAGUGCAUUCAAAACUGCAAAACUUGAGUAUGGAAGAGGGUCGUGGAAUUCCUGGUGUAGUGGUGAAAUACGUAGAUAUCAGGAGGAACACCGGUGGCGAAGGCGGCGACCUGGUCCUAUACUGACACUCAUACACGAAAGCGUGGGUAGCAAACAGG